Molecule: ribosomal RNA, 497 nt
Filed under: uncultured bacterium
Lineage: Bacteria
Description: partial 16S ribosomal RNA
Rfam family: Bacterial small subunit ribosomal RNA
Source: RNAcentral
GAUGAACGCUGGCGGCGUGCCUAAUACAUGCAAGUCGAGCGAACGGACGAGAAGCUUGCUUUUCUGAUGUUAGCGGCGGACGGGUGAGUAACACGUGGAAACCCUCCUUUUAAGCCUGGGAAAAUUUCGGGAAACGGGAUCUAAUCCGGUAUAAUAUUUUGAACCGCAUGGUUCAAAGGUAAAAGACGGUCUUGCUGUAUCUAAUCGAGGGUUCUCCGCUGCAUUAGCUGGUUGGUAAGGUAACGGCUUACCAAGGCAAGGAUGCAUAGCCGACCUGAGAGGGUGAUCGGCCACACUGGAACUGAGACACGGUCCAGACUCCUACGGGAGGCAGCAGUAGGGAAUCUUCCGCAAUGGGCGAAAGCCUGACGGAGCAACGCCGCGUGAGUGAUGAAGGUCUUCGGAUCGUAAAACUCUGUUAUUAGGGAAGAACAUAUGUGUAAGUAACUGUGCACAUCUUGACGGUACCUAAUCAGAAAGCCACGGCUAACUACGUG